AUUCCAGACCAAAAUUGAAAAAAUGGUUGACCUCACCCAGGUAAUGGACGAUGAAGUAUUCAUGGCUUUUGCAUCCUAUGCAACAAUUAUUCUUUCAAAAAUGAUGCUUAUGAGUACCGCAACUGCAUUUUAUAGAUUGAGAAGAAAGGUUUUUGCCAAUCCAGAAGACUGUGUAACAUUUGGCAAAGGAGAAAAUGCCAAGAAGUAUCUUCGAACAGAUGACAGAGUAGAACGUGUACGCAGGGCACAGGAGAUCUUAGGCCCAGAGAGGCAGAUUCAGAAGAUCCUACAUAUAAAUGAGACUGGAGUGGAAAUGAGAAUGGCGGGAAAUGCAUGGAAACAGACUUGUAACUGUCCCAUGGCCUGGCUGUCCGAAUCCCAGAGGAUGGAGUGCAAUGGCAUGAUCUCAGCUCACCGCCACCUCUGCCUCCCGGAUUCAAGUGACUCUCCUGCCUCAGCCUCUUGAGUAGCUGGGAUUACAGGUUGCUGCAGAAAUCAAGAGCUAACCAAGAAGACAAAGCAUGUAACAUAUUUA
Molecule: small RNA, 535 nt
Filed under: Pongo abelii (Sumatran orangutan)
Lineage: Eukaryota; Metazoa; Chordata; Mammalia; Primates; Hominidae
Description: processed transcript
Source: RNAcentral